AACGAACGCUGGCGGCAGGCUUAACACAUGCAAGUCGAACGGUUGUAGCAAUACAGCAGUGGCAGACGGGUGAGUAACACGUGGGAACCUUCCUAGGGGUACGGAACAACUCAGGGAGACUUGAGCUAAUACCGUAUACGUCCGUGAGGAGAAAGAUUUAUCGCCCUUAGACGGGCCCGCGUCGGAUUAGCUAGUUGGUGGGGUAACGGCCUACCAAGGCGACGAUCCGUAGCUGAUCUUAGAGGAUGAUCAGCCACACUGGGACUGAGACACGGCUCAGACUCCUACGGGAGGCAGCAGUGGGGAAUCUUGGACAAUGGGCGCAAGCCUGAUCCAGCCAUGCCGCGUGAGUGAAGAAGGUCUUCGGAUUGUAAAGCUCUUUUGCCAGGGACGAUAAUGACGGUACCUGGAGAAUAAGCCCCGGCAAACUUCGUGCCAGCAGCCGCCGCCG
Molecule: ribosomal RNA, 451 nt
Filed under: uncultured bacterium
Lineage: Bacteria
Description: partial 16S ribosomal RNA
Rfam family: Bacterial small subunit ribosomal RNA
Source: RNAcentral